RNAcentral lists this ribosomal RNA (464 nucleotides) under uncultured bacterium. Its description in RNAcentral is "partial 16S ribosomal RNA". It matches the Rfam family "Bacterial small subunit ribosomal RNA", at positions 339 to 795 of the family's 1533-position model. The record is from RNAcentral.
CUACGGGCCGCUGCAGUGAGGAAUUUUGCGCAAUGGGGGAAACCCUGACGCAGCAAUGCCGCGUGAGUGAAGAAGGCCUUCGGGUCGUAAAGCUCUGUCAGAUGGGAAGAAUGUAGAUAUGAUUAAUAGUUGUAUUUAGUGACGGUACCAUCAAAGGAAGCACCGGCUAACUCCGUGCCAGCAGCCGCGGUAAUACGGAGGGUGCAAGCGUUAUUCGGAAUCAUUGGGCGUAAAGGGCGCGUAGGCGGUAAUACAAGUCAGAUGUGAAAUCCCGGGGCUUAACUUCGGAGGGUCAUUUGAAACUGUAUUACUUGAGUUCGGUAGAGGAAAGCGGAAUUCCUGGUGUAGCGGUGAAAUGCGUAGAUAUCAGGAGGAACAUCAGUGGCGAAGGCGGCUUUCUGGCCCGAUACUGACGCUGAUGCGCGAAGGCAUGGGUAGCAAACGGGAUUAGAUACCCCGUAGUC